Molecule: RNA transcript, 1561 nt
Organism: Tarenaya hassleriana
Lineage: Eukaryota; Viridiplantae; Streptophyta; Magnoliopsida; Brassicales; Cleomaceae
Exons: 8
Source: RefSeq, a predicted model, not a curated record
UCUUCCUCCAAGAAAACCCUAAUUCUCCCCCAAUUCUCUGCCAAACCAGUGUUCCGUACGCGCCCGGUUCGUGUUUCUGUCAGGCGGCGGGUCAUUACUGCCAUAGCCCGAGCUGAAUCGAACGGGUUUGGCGGUGACGAUUCAAAGGAGCGGCUGUUUUUGUAGGUACCCGGGAGUAUUUUGAGCUCGUUAGAAGUCGGGGAAUUGCUGCAGGAACAACACCUCCUCCGCAUUUUGAUAUAAUCAUGAAGAAUCAGCGAGCAAAUUUUGUGCUGCCCCUAUUGAUACUAGCAAAUGUGAUAGUAACAGAAAACUCAAAACCUCGAGGGAUGUCUGCCGAAGCAACGCAGCAACAAGUCUCCUGUUAACUCCAUCCAGAUUGUGUUUUGUAAAUUAAGCAGAUUCCGGAUGGAGAUAUCAUCGACUGUGUCCCUAUCACCGGGCAACUGGCAUUCGAUGAUCCUCUCCUUAGAAACCACACAAUCCAGAUGAGGCCUAGUUCCGACAUAGAAGGUCUUUUCAGACGGGAUGAUUUGUAUCUGGACAAUGGCAUGGUCCCGGGAGGUAUAACUCAACUUUGACGUAUGAAUGGGGAAUGUCCUAAAACCACCAUUCCGAUCAAAAGGCCAUCAAAAGAAGACCUGUUAACAGCCGAGAAGUAUGGGAAAGGGUAUCAAGACAAUACCCUACACCACGAGUACGCUAUUGUCUAUACCGAGGAAGGAAGGUAUAACGGGGCAAGAGUGGGACUGAGUGUAUGGAAACCCAGGGUCCAAGAGGAAGAGUUUAGCGUGUCUCAGAUUCGGGUUUGGAGUGGAGUUCGUGGUUCGAAUUUGAAUACUUUGGAAGUUGGUUGGCAGGUUUACAAAGGUAAAUACAAAGAUGACAACCCAAGAUUAUUCACCCACUGGACGAGGGAUUUGUGCAAAGACACGGGCUGCUACAAUCUCGACUGCCCAGGCUUCAUUCAGACCAACAGUGCAUUUGCCCUUGGCGCGUCUAUCCAACCCGUGUCAACCUAUGGUGGUUCUCAAUACGGGAUGAGGUUGCUUAUCGCCAAGGAUCCAAGAACAGGAGACUGAUGGUUAGCGGUUGAUGGAACCGUUAUCGGUUAUUGGCCGAGUUCUAUAGUCCCAAACGGUGCAACGCAUGUUUCUUGGGGAGGCGAAAUUGCAAACAGAAACGCCAACGGGAAACACACCGCUACGGAAAUGGGGAGUAGACGCUUUGCAGAUGAAGAGUUUGGAAAGGCAAGCUAUUUCCGGAACAUAAGCGUAGUCGAUGCAUCGAACGUUAUAAGAGAUCCGGGAGUGCUGAAGACCGCCGUCACUCUGCCAAAUUGUUACAACGUGAAGAUCUUGUCGAGCGAGAUUUGGAGAACUCACUUUUUCUACGGUGGUCCUGGCCAAAACCCGAUAGGAAGGAUGACAUGUGGUGUUCUGAUGUGAUGAUGUGAUGUAUAACGAAGGCCAAAUGGUGUGCUGAUGUGAUGUAUAGACACCCAUACAUAUACACACGCACGAUCGAAAAGUUAAGUACAUUCUAGGGGGGGGGGGGCGGU